CCCGAAGUGAACAUUGGCCUACAGACCAGACUGCCAUGGUUAUAGGUUGAUAUUUAUGGUCUGAUUGACCCCAGCAUAAAGAGCUUCUAUGAAAAUAAAUCUCCUGUCUCAAACUUGCCAUGGCAAACUCUCUACAUUUUCUACUUUAGACUUGAAAAAACUCUGAGAACACAUCCUUGACCAUGGUAAUGGACUAUCAGAGAGGAAAAAUACUUUGCCAUUCUUCAGGACUGAUGAACUUAUGUAGGCCCAGGCUACACAGGAGUCCAGCUGCUCAUAGAUGACCUUUGGCUAAUCUUGUGCAGGAAUUUUCUAGAUAAAAACCUAAUCCCAUGCAAGUCACUACUCUGUCAAAGCCACAAAAGCAAAUGUGCUCCUGCAGCUCGGAGUCCAGCAUCUUUAUAUUGAUCACAGAUGAAGUUUGACUUGAGCCAGUAAGUCCACCAUGGUUCAGUGACUGCAUUUCACAGCUCUUGUUCAACUUCUGCCAUAUCAGCCACAGCAGCAACAGAGAACACUGGAGAAUUGGGGUGGCAUUAAUGUCAAGUGAAAACGUCUGUAUG
RNAcentral lists this long non-coding RNA (563 nucleotides) under Cyanistes caeruleus (blue tit). RNAcentral's name for it is "lncRNA (ENSCCEG00000014855.1)". Lineage: Eukaryota; Metazoa; Chordata; Aves; Passeriformes; Paridae. The record is from RNAcentral.